GGGGUUGUAGUGUAGUGGCUAUCACGCGUCAUUUGCAAUGACACUCAUAUGGAACCCUUCGGGUUAUCGGGUGUCAAGAGAAACUUGACGAGGUCCCGGGUUCAAUCCCCGGCGACUCCA
This 120-nucleotide transfer RNA is filed under the name Puccinia graminis f. sp. tritici. It matches the Rfam family "tRNA". From Rfam's summary of the family: Transfer RNA (tRNA) molecules are approximately 80 nucleotides in length. Lineage: Eukaryota; Fungi; Basidiomycota; Pucciniomycetes; Pucciniales; Pucciniaceae. The record is from Rfam by way of RNAcentral.